Bacillus manliponensis is the source of this 111-nucleotide small RNA. It matches the Rfam family "BsrF". Lineage: Bacteria; Bacillati; Bacillota; Bacilli; Caryophanales; Bacillaceae. The record is from Rfam.
GCGAUGAGCUAAUUCACGUAAGACGAGAGAUAUGCUUAAGUGCUAAACACGCGGAUGUGGCCGCCUGGUCUCUCGCCGUGAACGCAUCAAGACGCCUGCAUGACAGGCGUC